This 254-nucleotide ribosomal RNA is filed under the name uncultured bacterium. Its description in RNAcentral is "partial 16S ribosomal RNA". It matches the Rfam family "Bacterial small subunit ribosomal RNA", at positions 524 to 776 of the family's 1533-position model. The record is from RNAcentral.
UACAGGGGGGUGCUAGCGUUGUUCGGAAUCACUGGGCGUAAAGGGUGCGUAGGUGGCGGGGCAAGUCUGGUGUGAAAUCCCGGGGCUCAACCCUGGAACUGCACUGGAUACUGCUUUGCUAGAGUACUGGAGAGGGAACUGGAAUUUACGGUGUAGCAGUGAAAUGCGUAGAUAUCGUAAGGAAGACCAGUGGCGAAGGCGAGUUCCUGGACAGUUACUGACACUGAGGCGCGACAGCGUGGGGAGCAAACAGG